AUUAGGGUAUGCCAUUUUUCCCAAUUAUUAUGAAAACCUCUCGCACAUCAUAGUAAAAUCAAUAGAUCCAUUGCUACUCCGAAUACAAAGGAAACAAUAAGAAAUACAAGAUUAUACUAUAAAAUAUUAUUAUUACUAAGUAUACAUACAUUAAUACCUGACAUAAACAUAAUGAAAAACCAAGUCACAUACCAAACAAUAAGUAGGUAUAACAUUU
Molecule: non-coding RNA, 217 nt
Organism: Cinara cedri
Lineage: Eukaryota; Metazoa; Arthropoda; Insecta; Hemiptera; Aphididae
Source: the annotation of a GenBank genome assembly